AUCGCUUCUCGGCCUUUUGGCUAAGAUCAAGUGUAGUAUCUGUUCUUAUCAGUUUAAGAGACCAUGCUUGUAAAAUACUUAUUCAGUGCCCUUGUACAUGGUAAAUGUUUCAUAAACAAUAGCUAUAAAUAGAUAUAUUAAUAUAUUAUCAGAUGCCCCCAUUCCCC
RNAcentral lists this small nuclear RNA (167 nucleotides) under Suricata suricatta (meerkat). Its description in RNAcentral is "U2 spliceosomal RNA (ENSSSUG00005000853.1)". It matches the Rfam family "U2 spliceosomal RNA". From Rfam's summary of the family: U2 is a small nuclear RNA (snRNA) component of the spliceosome (involved in pre-mRNA splicing). Complementary binding between U2 snRNA (in an area lying towards the 5' end but 3' to hairpin I) and the branchpoint sequence (BPS) of the intron results the bulging out of an unpaired adenosine, on the BPS, which initiates a nucleophilic attack at the intronic 5' splice site, thus starting the first of two transesterification reactions that mediate splicing. Lineage: Eukaryota; Metazoa; Chordata; Mammalia; Carnivora; Herpestidae. The record is from Rfam by way of RNAcentral.